This 550-nucleotide small RNA is filed under the name Pongo abelii (Sumatran orangutan). Its description in RNAcentral is "retained intron". The record is from RNAcentral. Lineage: Eukaryota; Metazoa; Chordata; Mammalia; Primates; Hominidae.
GUAUAACUGGACAUUUUUGGUAGACUGUAAUAGCUAACAUUUAGGUGGUUGUAUUUUUCCUAAAGGAAGGGUUCUUGGAGAAGUUUUCGUAUUUAGUUUAAGCAAUGAUAUUUUCUGUAGAUUGUGGACAAAGCCCUAGAAGAGCCAAAGUAUAGCUCACUGUAUGCUCAGCUAUGUCUGCGAUUGGCAGAAGAUGCACCAAACUUUGAUGGCCCAGCAGCAGAGGGUCAACCAGGACAGAAGCAAAGCACCACAUUCAGACGCCUCCUAAUUUCCAAAUUACAAGAUGAAUUUGAAAACCGAACUAGAAAUGUUGAUGUCUAUGAUAAGCGUGAAAAUCCCCUCCUCCCUGAGGAGGAGGAACAGAGAGCCAUUGCUAAGAUCAAGAUGUUGGGAAACAUCAAAUUCAUUGGAGAGCUUGGCAAGCUUGAUCUUAUUCACGAAUCUAUCCUUCAUAAGUGCAUCAAAACACUUUUGGAAAAGAAGAAGAGAGUCCAACUCAAAGAUAUGGGAGAGGAUUUGGAGUGCCUCUGUCAGAUAAUGAGGACAG